RNAcentral lists this unclassified non-coding RNA (314 nucleotides) under Basidiomycota sp. RNAcentral's name for it is "partial contains small subunit ribosomal RNA, internal transcribed spacer 1, and 5.8S ribosomal RNA". The stretch from base 1 to 47 matches the Rfam family "Eukaryotic small subunit ribosomal RNA", at positions 1785 to 1831 of the family's 1831-position model. The record is from RNAcentral. Lineage: Eukaryota; Fungi; Basidiomycota.
AAAGUCGUAACAAGGUUUCCGUAGGUGAACCUGCGGAAGGAUCAUUAUUGAAUGAACUUGGCUUGGUUGCUGCUGGUCUUUUCGAAGGCAUGUGCACGCCAUGUCAUCUUUAUAUCUCCACCUGUGCACCUUUUGUAGACCUGGAUUCAAUUUUCCGAGGUAACUCGGUCGUGAGGAACUGCUUAACGGCUUUCCUUGUUAGUUUCCAGGCCUAUGUUUUCAUAUACACCAUACGAAUGUAACAGAAUGUCAUUAUUAGGCUUAAUUGUCUUAUAAACUAUAUACAACUUUCAGCAACGGAUCUCUUGGCUCUC